This 478-nucleotide ribosomal RNA is filed under the name uncultured bacterium. RNAcentral describes it as "partial 16S ribosomal RNA". It matches the Rfam family "Bacterial small subunit ribosomal RNA", at positions 28 to 523 of the family's 1533-position model. The record is from RNAcentral.
GACGAACGCUGGCGGCGUGCUUAACACAUGCAAGUCGAACGGUAAGGCCCUUCGGGGUACACGAGUGGCGAACGGGUGAGUAACACGUGGGUGAUCUGCCCUGCACUUCGGGAUAAGCCUGGGAAACUGGGUCUAAUACCGGAUAGGACCCUGGGAUGCAUGUCCUGGGGUGGAAAGCUUUUGCGGUGUGGGAUGGGCCCGCGGCCUAUCAGCUUGCUGGUGGGGUGAUGGCCUACCAAGGCGACGACGGGUAGCCGGCCUGGGAGGGGGACCGGCCACACUGGUACUGGGAUACGGCCCAGACUCCUACGGGAGGCAGCAGUGGGGAAUAUUGCACAAUGGGCGCAAGCCUGAUGCAGCGACGCCGCGUGAGGGAUGACGGCCUUCGGGUUGUAAACCUCUUUCAGCACCGACGAAGCGCAAGUGACGGUAGGUGCAGAAGAAGGACCGGCCAACUACGUGCCAGCCGCCGCCGUAA